Molecule: transfer RNA, 74 nt
Filed under: Yersinia phage fHe-Yen9-03
Lineage: Duplodnaviria; Heunggongvirae; Uroviricota; Caudoviricetes
Rfam family: tRNA
About the family: Transfer RNA (tRNA) molecules are approximately 80 nucleotides in length.
Source: Rfam by way of RNAcentral
AGGAGAUUAGCAUAGAUGGCCUAAUGCACCGGUCUUUGAAAUCGGUAUCGGUGGUUCGAAUCCACCAUCUCCUG